AAUAGUUGCCCCAAAAUUUUAGAUUUCCCUCUAAGAUUUCACAAUGAACAUUCAUCUCUCCCAUUACCCACCCCAAUCGCUCUAAGAUUUCACAAUGAACAUUCAUCUCUCCCAUUACCCACCCCAAUCGCUAUUCUUUCGCUGAAACUGCUAGAUCGUCUCCUCUUAUCGAAUCCCACUACUACGCCCCUAAUGAAUCGCAACUAAGUGACCGACGAACCACAAUUGCACCACCUGAUGAUCUGUCAUCGCCGCUCAUACCUUCUCACUCAACUCCUCUUCGCUUCACUUCAGCCCCGGAAGAUCGUAAUACUAACCUAAUUUCUGGUGAUCCAAAGGAAGACCGAACAGAGGAGUGGUUCAACCGCUAGUGAUUGAAGGGAAGACCUAGUUUCCUUAGAUGGAUAGAAGGGUUAAGAGCAAUUCAAUCGUAGUUUCAACCCACCUUCAAUCCUAGGUCAGUAAAAAUAAAAUGAUUGUGUUCAAUUGAUCAACAAUAUGCGACUAUGCGUUUGUGUGCAACGAAUGGACAAUAUGAGCGAUGGUUUUGAUUCUACUGACGCUGCAAAAGAUAUGUACUGUCAUUAUUGUUACUCUUUAUCUGUUUUGUGGUUUAUACAUGUAAAAGUGAAUCUGUACUAGCUGCACACAUUCCAUUCUCCAACGCAAAGUAUACAUUCUACAAGGAAAUGGAAAUCCCGUGUACGUUUGAGGAAAUAAAAAAUACAUUGUUGAUUCUAAGGGAAAAGGU
Long non-coding RNA from Helianthus annuus (common sunflower), 751 nucleotides. RefSeq lists it as uncharacterized. Lineage: Eukaryota; Viridiplantae; Streptophyta; Magnoliopsida; Asterales; Asteraceae. The record is from RefSeq and is a predicted model, not a curated record. The transcript is spliced from 3 exons.